CCUACGGGCGGCAGCAGUGAGGAAUAUUGGUCAAUGGCCGCGAGGCUGAACCAGCCAAGUCGCGUGAGGGAAGACGGCCCUACGGGUUGUAAACCUCUUUUGUCGGGGAGCAAAGCGAACCACGUGUGGUUCAUUGAGAGUACCCGAAGAAAAAGCAUCGGCUAACUCCGGGCCAGCAGCCGCGGUAAUACGGAGGAUGCGAGCGUUUUCCGGAUUUUUUGGGUUUGAAGGGUGCGCAGGCGGAGGUGGAAGGCGGGGGUCAAAUUGUGGGGCUCAACCCCGUACUGCCGUUGAAACUGCAUCCCUUGAGUGCGCGAGAAGUAUGCGGAAGGCGUGGUGUAGCGGUGAAAUGCAUAGAUAUCACGAAGAACUCCGAUUGCGAAGGCAGCAUACCGGCGCGCAACUGACGCUCAUGCACGAAAGCGUGGGUAUCGAACAGGAUUAGAUACGGUAGUC
Molecule: ribosomal RNA, 456 nt
Filed under: uncultured bacterium
Lineage: Bacteria
Description: partial 16S ribosomal RNA
Rfam family: Bacterial small subunit ribosomal RNA
Source: RNAcentral